CAAUAGCGUAUAUUAAAGUUGUUGCAGUUAAAAAGCUCGUAGUUGGAUUUCUGGUGGGAGCGAUCGGUCUGGCGCUUAGCGCGAGUACUUGCAUCGUCUCCGGCCAUCCUUGGGGAGAGUCUGUCUGGCAUUAGGUUGUCGGGCAGAGGAUCUUCAUCGUUUACUGUGAAAACAUUAGAGUGUUCAAAGCAGGCUUAUGCCGUUGAAUAUAUUAGCAUGGAAUAAUAAGAUAGGACUUUGGUACUAUUUUGUUGGUUUGCGCACCAAAGUAAUGAUUAAUAGGGACAGUUGGGGGUAUUCGUAUUCCGUUGUCAGAGGUGAAAUUCUUGGAUUUACGGAAGACGAACUACUGCGAAAGCAUUUACCAAGGAUGUUUUCAUUAA
RNAcentral lists this ribosomal RNA (383 nucleotides) under uncultured eukaryote. RNAcentral describes it as "partial 18S ribosomal RNA". It matches the Rfam family "Eukaryotic small subunit ribosomal RNA", at positions 592 to 976 of the family's 1831-position model. The record is from RNAcentral.